RNAcentral lists this ribosomal RNA (428 nucleotides) under Chloroflexota bacterium. Its description in RNAcentral is "Chloroflexi bacterium partial 16S ribosomal RNA". It matches the Rfam family "Bacterial small subunit ribosomal RNA", at positions 355 to 776 of the family's 1533-position model. The record is from RNAcentral. Lineage: Bacteria; Bacillati; Chloroflexota.
UGGGGAAUAUUGCACAAUGGGCGCAAGCCUGAUGCAGCCAUGCCGCGUGUAUGAAGAAGGCCUUCGGGUUGUAAAGUACUUUCAGUCGGGAGGAAGGUGGUAAGGUUAAUAACCUUAUCAAUUGACGUUACCGACAGAAGAAGCACCGGCUAACUCCGUGCCAGCAGCCGCGGUAAUACGGAGGGUGCAAGCGUUAAUCGGAAUUACUGGGCGUAAAGCGCACGCAGGCGGUUGAUUGAGUCAGAUGUGAAAUCCCCGGGCUUAACCCGGGAAUUGCAUCUGAUACUGGUCAGCUAGAGUCUUGUAGAGGGGGGUAGAAUUCCAUGUGUAGCGGUGAAACGCGUAGAGAUGUGGAGGAAUACCGGUGGCGAAGGCGGCCCCUGGACAAAGACUGACGCUCAGGUGCGAAAGCGUGGGGAGCAAACAGG